CUAAGUAUUUAGUUUACUUAUUUAGUAGCGUAACUUGCUUUUCUUUGCUUUAACAUGCGAUACCAACCACUGUAGCUAUAAAAAAAUUAAGACGCGUUUCAAUCCGCUUGCAGGGCCUAUCGGAACAACCAAGGAGGGUUACGCGUAUUUUCAAAGAACAGGAUCCGGUUGAAUUUAUUCUAGUUUACUGAGAUGGUGAUUGAUUUUUGUUUGAAACUUGAACUUUUCUGCUGCGGCGGCUUGUGUCAGUCGGUGAAAGGGACGCUAGUCAGUUUGUCGCAGUAUUCAGUGUCG
This is a long non-coding RNA of Malaya genurostris, 294 nucleotides long. RefSeq lists it as uncharacterized. The record is from RefSeq and is a predicted model, not a curated record. The transcript has 3 exons. NCBI's taxonomy places the organism in Eukaryota, Metazoa, Arthropoda, Insecta, Diptera, Culicidae.